RNAcentral lists this ribosomal RNA (1004 nucleotides) under Oomycota sp. Its description in RNAcentral is "Oomycetes sp. partial large subunit ribosomal RNA". It matches the Rfam family "Eukaryotic large subunit ribosomal RNA", at positions 56 to 937 of the family's 3401-position model. Lineage: Eukaryota; Oomycota. The record is from RNAcentral.
AAAAAGAAACUAACAAAGGGAUUUCCCCUAGUAACGGCGAGUGAAGCGGGAUAAGCUCAAGCUUAAAAUCUCCAUGCUAGUUUAGCAUGGCGAAUUGUAGUCUAUUGAGGCUGUUGUCAGCACAGACAUUUGGGACAAGUCCCUUGGAAGAGGGCAGCAUAGAGGGUGAUACUCCCGUCUUUGCUCAGAUGUCUUGUGUGUACGAUACGCUUUCUUUGAGUCGAGUUGCUUGGGAAUGCAGCUCAAAGUAGGUGGUAGAUUCCAUCUAAAGCUAAAUAUAGGUGCGAGACCGAUAGCGAACAAGUACCGUGAGGGAAAGAUGAAAAGAACUUUGAAAAGAGAGUUAAAAAGUACCUGAAACUGUUAAAAGGGAAUCGUAUCGCUUCCAGUGUCUUAUCCUUUGCAUACUUCAUUGGCGAACUUGUUUGCUGGUGCCCUGUGCAUUGGUGUGACGUCAAAGUCAGUUUGUAAGCUGCGGGAAAUGGUUAUUGAGGAGGUACUUCACUUCGGUGAACGUUAUAGCUUGAUAACUAGUCGUCGUGGCUGAGACUGAGGUGCCUAUAACAUGCUUUGAAGUCUUGUUGUGUCUCGUUUGAAUAAUUGUUUGGAUAGCUUGCUAUGUCUGUGAUUAUUUUGAGCGAUUGAUGCGAUCUGUAACUUCCUGCUGUUCGGGACUUUGGCGAAAUGGAGCGAUAUGUCCCGUCUUGAAACACGGACCAAGGAGUCUAACAUGUGUGCAAGUAUUAGGGUGUGGAAGCCCAAAUGCGUAAUGAAAGUAAAUGGUAACUCGGUUACCUUAGGUAGGAAAGCAGCAAUGCUGGCACUAUCGACCGAUCAUGAAUCUACGGAUGAAAGAUUUGAGUAUGAGCAUAUAUGUUGGUACCCGAAAGAUGGUGAACUAUGCGUGAAUAGGGUGAAGCCAGGGGAAACUCUGGUGGAAGCUCGUAGCGAUUCUGACGUGCAAAUCGAUCGUCAAAUUUGCGUAUAGGGCGAAAGACUAAUCG